AGGAUAUACACUUUUGUCAGGAGAUCAGCAUCAUGAGCAACACUUGUAGCUGUUCACAUAUACAUUCUGCCAUCUGUGGUGCACAGAAUAUCACUGAAAUGUUGAUUUUUUUUGCAGAUAUGAAGAAAAUCUUUGGAGGAAACAGAAGGGAAAACUUCCACCUAUGGUUAAGAUUCCUCCACCAUGGCCACCUCUGCCUACCCAGCUAUUUGGGGUCAGCCUGCAAUAGUAGUGAGGAGAGCAAAAACCACAGUGAGGUAGCUGAAAGGUUAAUCAAGCCUCACCUCAAGUCUUCAGCAG
This 300-nucleotide long non-coding RNA is filed under the name Parus major (Great Tit). RNAcentral describes it as "lncRNA (ENSPMJG00000010087.1)". Lineage: Eukaryota; Metazoa; Chordata; Aves; Passeriformes; Paridae. The record is from RNAcentral.